UUUUGGUUAUAAUUAUAUUCCAUGCAACAUUUGGGACAUACUUAUACUAAAA
RNAcentral lists this microRNA precursor (52 nucleotides) under Ailuropoda melanoleuca (giant panda). RNAcentral's name for it is "mir-1302". Lineage: Eukaryota; Metazoa; Chordata; Mammalia; Carnivora; Ursidae. The record is from RNAcentral.